UUCACCUCCACCCACAACAAGCCCUGCAGCAUCCUCAGUCCCAGUACCUUGGAAUUAAGAUUAAGGAGCCAUGCUUUUUGGAGAGAGAUUUCAAAAUGGAAAACAGGCCUUCUCCAACAAGAUCUGAACAUUGGCUGUCAAUUGAGUGUUCAGAGCCUAACUGAAAGCUGCCUUACUGGAACUGGAAUUUGGGAGUAGGGAAUCAUUUUCCUUAUGCACAUAUUUCUUCUGUUAGUGUAUGAAAUAGUUAAAAAUUACCAGCUGCUUAUAAAUUAAGUCUAUUUUUAAGGCAUAGUGCGCUGCUGCCUUUUU
Molecule: long non-coding RNA, 312 nt
Organism: Cygnus olor (mute swan)
Lineage: Eukaryota; Metazoa; Chordata; Aves; Anseriformes; Anatidae
Exons: 3
Source: RefSeq, a predicted model, not a curated record